RNAcentral lists this ribosomal RNA (953 nucleotides) under Bacillus sp. DQ7(2010). RNAcentral describes it as "bacterial SSU rRNA". It matches the Rfam family "Bacterial small subunit ribosomal RNA", at positions 26 to 962 of the family's 1533-position model. The record is from RNAcentral. Lineage: Bacteria; Bacillati; Bacillota; Bacilli; Caryophanales; Bacillaceae.
UGGGUGAACGCGUAGGCGGUAGCUCUAGAAGCAAGUCGAGCGGACAGAUGGGAGCUUGCUCCCUGAUGUUAGCGGCGGACGGGUGAGUAACACGUGGGUAACCUGCCUGUAAGACUGGGAUAACUCCGGGAAACCGGGGCUAAUACCGGAUGCUUGUUUGAACCGCAUGGUUCAAACAUAAAAGGUGGCUUCGGCUACCACUUACAGAUGGACCCGCGGCGCAUUAGCUAGUUGGUGAGGUAAUGGCUCACCAAGGCAACGAUGCGUAGCCGACCUGAGAGGGUGAUCGGCCACACUGGGACUGAGACACGGCCCAGACUCCUACGGGAGGCAGCAGUAGGGAAUCUUCCGCAAUGGACGAAAGUCUGACGGAGCAACGCCGCGUGAGUGAUGAAGGUUUUCGGAUCGUAAAGCUCUGUUGUUAGGGAAGAACAAGUACCGUUCGAAUAGGGCGGUACCUUGACGGUACCUAACCAGAAAGCCACGGCUAACUACGUGCCAGCAGCCGCGGUAAUACGUAGGUGGCAAGCGUUGUCCGGAAUUAUUGGGCGUAAAGGGCUCGCAGGCGGUUCCUUAAGUCUGAUGUGAAAGCCCCCGGCUCAACCGGGGAGGGUCAUUGGAAACUGGGGAACUUGAGUGCAGAAGAGGAGAGUGGAAUUCCACGUGUAGCGGUGAAAUGCGUAGAGAUGUGGAGGAACACCAGUGGCGAAGGCGACUCUCUGGUCUGUAACUGACGCUGAGGAGCGAAAGCGUGGGGAGCGAACAGGAUUAGAUACCCUGGUAGUCCACGCCGUAAACGAUGAGUGCUAAGUGUUAGGGGGUUUCCGCCCCUUAGUGCUGCAGCUAACGCAUUAAGCACUCCGCCUGGGGAGUACGGUCGCAAGACUGAAACUCAAAGAAUUGACGGGGCCGCACAAGCGUGGAGCAUGUGGCUUUAAUUCGAAGCAACGGCC